Molecule: non-coding RNA, 960 nt
Organism: Coffea arabica (coffee)
Lineage: Eukaryota; Viridiplantae; Streptophyta; Magnoliopsida; Gentianales; Rubiaceae
Source: RefSeq, a predicted model, not a curated record
UACGCAAAGGCUUGGUGGUAUUUUAAAGCUAAUGCUGUUUAGUCUAGAGAAUAACCAGAUUGAAGGCUCUAUACCAAUUAGAGCUAUUGGAAAAUUGAUUUCACUUAAAGAACUAUACCUUGGUGUAAACAAUUUAACAGUUUCUGGAGCCUCAAAGAUCUCUUGGGAUUUAUUCUGUCAUCGAAUUUCUUGACUGGCUCUCUACCUUCAGAGAUUGGACUGUUGAAGGUUGCAACAUGGAUAGAUUUUUUGAUGAAUCAGUUCGCAAACAACAUUCCCAGCAGAAUUGGAGAUUCAGAAAACUUGAAUCCUCUUUCUUUGGCAUAUAACAACUUUGAAGGGGCAAAUUCCAUCUAACGGCCCUUUCAAGAAUUUCACUAGUGAAUCUUUUAUCUCCAAUGAUGUAUUAUGUGGAUCAUCUAGGUUUCAUGUUCCAGCAAGCCAAACACUUCAAUUCACAGAUCGAGGACAAAGAAAGUGCUUCAAACUAAAUUGAUAGUGUUUGGAGCUUCAGCAAUAAUUGCUGGUAUUGCCUUGGCAUUUUUGUUCGUUCGGUACAUAAAGACGGAGAAGGUUCCUAAUGGAACUAAUUUGUUCUCCUUGACAGCAAAAGGAAGGAUUUCGUAUUAUGAACUCCUACAAGCAACCAAUGGUUAUGAUGAAAGCAACUUACUAGGAAGUUUUGGAUCUGUUUACAAAGGGAUUCUAGCUAAUGGAAUGUAUGUGGCCAUAAAGGCGUUCAAUUUACAGUUGGAAUAUUCAUUCAAGAGUUGCACCAGAGAAUCAGAAAGUCUUAUGCAUUCUUAGGCACAGAAAUCUGAAUGAUGACUUUAAGAGAUUAAUACAUGAUUAGAUGCCCAGUGGGAGCCUUGACUUGAGAAGCGGUUGUAUUCUUACAAUAAUUGCUCAAGUAUCAUCCAAAGAAUGAAUGUGAUGAUAGAUGUGGCAUCUGCAUUGGAG